ACGAACGCUGGCGGCGUGCCUAAUACCUGCAAGUAGCACGCUGAAGAGAGGAGCUUGCUCUUCUUGGAUGAGUUGCGAACGGGUGAGUAACGCGUAGGUAACCUGCCUUGUAGCGGGGGAUAACUAUUGGAAACGAUAGCUAAUACCGCAUAACAAUGGAUGACACAUGUCAUUUAUUUGAAAGGGGUAAUUGCUCCACUACAAGAUGGACCUGCGUUGUAUUAGCUAGUAGGUGAGGUAAUGGCUCACCUAGGCGACGAUACAUAGCCGACCUGAGAGGGUGAUCGGCCACACUGGGACUGAGACACGGCCCAGACUCCUACGGGAGGCAGCAGUAGGGAAUCUUCGGCAAUGGGGGCAACCCUGACCGAGCAACGCCGCGUGAGUGAAGAAGGUUUUCGGAUCGUAAAGCUCUGUUGUAAGUCAAGAACGGGUGUGAGAGUGGAAAGUUCACACUGUGACGGUAGCUGACCAGAAAGGGACGGCUAACUACGUG
This 496-nucleotide ribosomal RNA is filed under the name uncultured bacterium. RNAcentral describes it as "partial 16S ribosomal RNA". It matches the Rfam family "Bacterial small subunit ribosomal RNA", at positions 29 to 507 of the family's 1533-position model. The record is from RNAcentral.